UCCGAGUUGACCCCGGCAGUCUCCUGCGAGUCCCCGCCAUUACGCGCUGGCAACACAGGACAAGGGUUGCGCUCGUUGCGGGACUUAACCCAACAUCUCACGACACGAGCUGACGACAGCCAUGCACCACCUGUAUACGGCCCCGAAGGACACCACAUCUCUGUGGCUUUUCCGUAUAUUUCAAGCCCUGGUAAGGUUCUUCGCGUUGCGUCGAAUUAAACCACACGCUCCGCUGCUUGUGCGGGCCCCCGUCAAUCCCUUUGGGUUUUAGCCUUGCGGCCGUAGUCCCCAGGCGGCGGACUUAGCGCGUUAGCUGCGGCACCGAGGGGGUCGAUACCCCCGACACCUAGUCCGCAUCGUUUACGGCGUGGACUAC
RNAcentral lists this unclassified non-coding RNA (376 nucleotides) under uncultured bacterium. RNAcentral's name for it is "contains 16S-23S intergenic spacer region". The record is from RNAcentral.